GUGCUUUGCAAGUACUCUACUGCUGCCACCCUUGGGUGGAGCAAUGCCCAGAAAAAUGGCAACAGGACAUUUGUGGGGAAAAUUUAAGCAAGACAAUGGGCUGAGACAUCUCUUCCUCACACCAGUUUUUUUCUCAGUCUGCUUUUAAAAUGCUAGAAGCUGUGUUUGAAAGCAUGGAAGACUUAUGACUACUGCUAGCCUUUGUGUUUGCUCAUGGCAGACUAUUUAUUUUGAAAAGUACUGCUUGUUAAGUAAAUAAAAGACAAUAUAAUUUUGGCAAUUACUAUGUUUACAGGGAGCUGGAACAAGGUGAAAGUCACUGGCAUUCUUGUUGAGCUAGCUGAUAAAAUGUGACCUGAAAUAAUGUGUUACUAGUGAAGUCAUGCAAAAAAUCCCUAGACCCAGUACACUGAGACCAUGUCCUCAUUGUGAACAGAGCAAUAUUCAUACUGUGCUGUGGCAGUCUAAGAUGUGUGAAUCAUAAAAUACUGAACAAGCAAGUAAAAGCAAGAUAACUGCAGCUUCUUGGGAUGACUUUUGGACAAGAGUUUAUCAAAACUUGCAUGCAAAGCAGCUCAUUUCUUCUAGAAACCUCAAGUCUGAAAAAUCGGCAUCUUUAAAGACCCAUGAGAGCUGGACAAAUAAUGAAUGACCUUUGCCAUCUCUGGAUUGUACCACUGUGAGUUGUUAGAUGACAUUUUAUGGAGAACUAAUGAUCUGCUUACCAGUAAGCAGAAGAAUCACUUCCAAUCCUGAUACACAAUUUUUGUGUAUGUGAAUAAAGUUUUCUGAACAUGAAGGCCA
Molecule: long non-coding RNA, 804 nt
Filed under: Cyanistes caeruleus (blue tit)
Lineage: Eukaryota; Metazoa; Chordata; Aves; Passeriformes; Paridae
Description: lncRNA (ENSCCEG00000019332.1)
Source: RNAcentral